GGCUAUAGCCAAGCGGUAAGGCAACGGACUUUGACUCCGUCAUGCGUUGGUUCCUUCGGGUUAUGAGCCCGACGAGCUA
RNAcentral lists this transfer RNA (79 nucleotides) under Bacillus amyloliquefaciens. RNAcentral describes it as "tRNA-Gln". The record is from RNAcentral. Lineage: Bacteria; Bacillati; Bacillota; Bacilli; Caryophanales; Bacillaceae.